This 114-nucleotide transfer RNA is filed under the name Candidatus Aenigmatarchaeota archaeon. Its description in RNAcentral is "tRNA-Arg". It matches the Rfam family "tRNA". Rfam says of the family: Transfer RNA (tRNA) molecules are approximately 80 nucleotides in length. Their secondary structure includes four short double-helical elements and three loops (D, anti-codon, and T loops). The record is from RNAcentral. Lineage: Archaea; Nanobdellati; Candidatus Aenigmatarchaeota.
GGGCGUGUAGCUCAGCUGGAAAUUUCGAUGGAAGCAGAAAACUUCUGCUUCGGUCAGCAGUAGAGCGCGGGUCUUCUAAGCCUGAGGUCGAGGGUUCGAAUCCCUUCACGCCCA